CAAACAGUUGUGUAACAGAAAUCAGCUUGCCACAGAUUAAACUAAAUCCCACACGUAAACACAAAAGGAGAUAAGUUCUCAAACUUAAAUAUUAAGGGGGUGGAAGUCAGUCACAUCAACUGCCUUGUAACAUUUUCAUGCAAACUUUGUUGGGGUCCAUCUACCAAAAAGUUAUUUGAAGAGUUAACAACAUUUUUUCCUGACUUCCCAAAUAAUUGUGUUAGCUCUCAAACCAUUUUUAUCAAAGGCUAGAUUUCUAAAACAAGUUUGCAACUGAAUACGUCCUCUCUUGAUCCUGUGGUUUGUAACAUACAGGCUGUACGUCACUGGCUUUGGAGUCACGGACACGCUUCAAGAGUGCUCAGAUCUCCGUCGGCAGAGUUGGACAGGAUUCCACUGUGCAGUUGCUCCCAGCUGGUUCCAGCUGUUGCUGCACGUUUCGAUCCUGUUUUUUGGUGAAGACUGUGUUUCCAGUCCUUCCUUUCCCCGCUUACAAUCCUACACAAACAGCACCGUGUGGUUUGCUGGGGAAGCUGAUAGUAUUAGUAAAGGCCAGUGG
This 559-nucleotide long non-coding RNA is filed under the name Bos indicus x Bos taurus (hybrid cattle). RNAcentral's name for it is "lncRNA (ENSBIXG00005028635.1)". Lineage: Eukaryota; Metazoa; Chordata; Mammalia; Artiodactyla; Bovidae. The record is from RNAcentral.